This 198-nucleotide ribosomal RNA is filed under the name uncultured bacterium. RNAcentral's name for it is "partial 16S ribosomal RNA". It matches the Rfam family "Bacterial small subunit ribosomal RNA", at positions 328 to 539 of the family's 1533-position model. The record is from RNAcentral.
ACGCUCGACACCUACGGGGGGCAGCAGUGGGGAAUAUUGCACAAUGGGGGAAACCCUGAUGCAGCGACGCCGCGUGAGCGAAGAAGUAUCUCGGUAUGUAAAGCUCUAUCAGCAGGGAAGAAGAUGACGGUACCUGACUAAGAAGCACCGGCUAAAUACGUGUCAGCAGCCGCGGUAAUCUGAGCGGGCUGGCAAGGC